This 663-nucleotide long non-coding RNA is filed under the name Rattus norvegicus (Norway rat). RNAcentral's name for it is "long non-coding RNA NONRATT002414". The record is from RNAcentral. Lineage: Eukaryota; Metazoa; Chordata; Mammalia; Rodentia; Muridae.
CCAAAGCGCAGCUCAGCAGCUCUCAGACCCUGUACGGGGUACCCGGGACACCCGAUCUCUGGGUUCAGGUUUGCCCAUCUCUGGGCGGCAGGGCAAGGUCUCUUUACUAUAGCCAUGGACAACUCCAGCAUACAGGAACUCCAGCAACCCUUACUGCCAAGCGUAACCUGGGACCUCCUUGCUUCCAAGUCUGAGAAACCAGAGCUGGGAACCCUCUUCCCAGAAACUGCCUUUGCAGAUUCCCCGAGAGGCUGGCAGCUUCUUCUCCCACCUCUUCCUUCAGUGAGCGCUGGCCUGGGGGAGCCUGAGACCCCUGACCUUGAGGUAGGAGCAUCAGGUUGACAGCAGAGCUACCUGCCUAGGUCUGGAGUCUCUCUUGACUGUUGAGGGCUGGCUGGGAGUCUCACGAGUCUCUGUGGAGCCACGACAGACCUGGAGCUCUCUCUGUAGACCAGGCCAGUCUUGAACUCAGAGAGAUCCACCUGGUCCUGUCUCCCAAAUGCAGUCUUUUGCUUUUCUUUUUCUUCAGACUUUGACCACUUUCUUUAAUCUUUGUUUGCUGUCUCCCUUCCAAUCUAACUACUUCUCGUUCCAGAACCCGUAAACAUCUGGCUUCUGUUGACCCAGUCUUUGAAGUUAAAGUCUUUAAUUUAAAAAAAAAAA